This 460-nucleotide ribosomal RNA is filed under the name uncultured bacterium. RNAcentral describes it as "partial 16S ribosomal RNA". It matches the Rfam family "Bacterial small subunit ribosomal RNA", at positions 338 to 795 of the family's 1533-position model. The record is from RNAcentral.
CCUACGGGUGGCAGCAGUGAGGAAUAUUGGUCAAUGGACGAGAGUCUGAACCAGCCAAGUAGCGUGAAGGAUGACUGCCCUAUGGGUUGUAAACUUCUUUUAUAUGGGAAUAAAAUGUUCCACGUGUGGGAUUUUGUAUGUACCAUAUGAAUAAGGAUCGGCUAACUCCGUGCCAGCAGCCGCGGUAAUACGGAGGAUCCGAGCGUUAUCCGGAUUUAUUGGGUUUAAAGGGAGCGUAGGUGGAUUGUUAAGUCAGUUGUGAAAGUUUGCGGCUCAACCGUAAAAUUGCAGUUGAAACUGGCAGUCUUGAGUACAGUAGAGGUGGGCGGAAUUCGUGGUGUAGCGGUGAAAUGCUUAGAUAUCACGAAGAACUCCGAUUGCGAAGGCAGUUCACUGGACUGCAACUGAUACUGAGGCUCGAAAGUGUGGGUAUCAAACAGGAUUAGAUACCCUAGUAGUC